RNAcentral lists this ribosomal RNA (457 nucleotides) under uncultured bacterium. RNAcentral describes it as "bacterial SSU rRNA". It matches the Rfam family "Bacterial small subunit ribosomal RNA", at positions 33 to 507 of the family's 1533-position model. The record is from RNAcentral.
ACGCUGGCGGCGUGCUUAACACAUGCAAGUCGAACGGUAAGGCCCUUCGGGGUACACGAGUGGCGAACGGGUGAGUAACACGUGGGUGAUCUGCCCUGCACUUCGGGAUAAGCCUGGGAAACUGGGUCUAAUACCGGAUAGGACCAUGGACUUCACGGUUUGUGGUGGAAAGCUUUUGCGGUGUGGGAUGGGCCCGCGGCCUAUCAGCUUGUUGGUGGGGUAAUGGCCUACCAAGGCGACGACGGGUGGCCGGCCUGAGAGGGUGUCCGGCCACACUGGGACUGAGAUACGGCCCAGACUCCUACGGGAGGCAGCAGUGGGGAAUAUUGCACAAUGGGCGCAAGCCUGAUGCAGCGACGCCGCGUGAGGGAUGACGGCCUUCGGGUUGUAAACCUCUUUCAAUAGGGACGAAGCGCAAGUGACGGUACCUAUAGAAGAAGCACCGGCCAACUACGUG